RNAcentral lists this long non-coding RNA (282 nucleotides) under Lathyrus oleraceus (garden pea). Its description in RNAcentral is "Pisum sativum (pea) long non-coding RNA (PSAT_LNC034485)". Lineage: Eukaryota; Viridiplantae; Streptophyta; Magnoliopsida; Fabales; Fabaceae. The record is from RNAcentral.
ACAAAGGGAAGGUGUUAGCAUCCAAAGUGUCAUAGGUACUCCUAGGGAGCCUUUUUUUGUGUGCAUAUGUGUUUUUGUACAACUGAUGUUUGCAGACAAAUAGAAUGGAGGGAUGAGAAAAUAAUUCAUUAAUUAUAUUUUUGUGUUUGACAAGACCUUCGGACUUGUGCCUAGGUACCUGUAACACCCCAAAAUUUUCCCUCCUUAUUCACGCAUUCAUUUUUAGGUCAUUUAACAUUAGAUACAUUGCAUUUCAUCAUGUCAAUCAGGAUUAGCUCCAAG